This 414-nucleotide ribosomal RNA is filed under the name uncultured prokaryote. RNAcentral's name for it is "partial 16S ribosomal RNA". The record is from RNAcentral.
CCCUAUGGGGUGGUUGACGAAACCCUUGUUCCAAGCGCCUUGAAGGUAUCCGUGUAUCCCAAUCCCUUUAGUCAAUCCACUACCCUGCGCUAUACUGCCAAAUCUGCCGAAGCGGCAAGAUUGACGAUCUUCGACCUGAAAGGCAGGAAGGUGAACGAAUUAACCCUUAAUCCGGCAUUUUUCGGAGAACAUAGGUUUGAUUGGGACGGACGUGAUCAAAACAGGCUUCCGCUGGCUUCCGGGGUCUAUUUUUAUCGCCUGCAGUCCGGCAAGAAUAUGGUUAUCGGCAAACUUCUGCUGCUGAAGUAAAAUGCUCCUUUGCGUCGAUCCCAUCCUAUACCCAUGCUUUACCCAUCCAAUAAACAUAGGGUAUGAUAUGGAGGGGUAAAGGUUUAGGAUCCUGGCGGGGGGGGC